Molecule: ribosomal RNA, 441 nt
Filed under: uncultured bacterium
Lineage: Bacteria
Description: SSU rRNA
Rfam family: Bacterial small subunit ribosomal RNA
Source: RNAcentral
AGAACGAACGCUGGCGGCAGGCUUAACACAUGCAAGUCGAACGCCCCGCAAGGGGAGUGGCAGACGGGUGAGUAACGCGUGGGAAUCUACCUGGUUCUACGGAAUAACUGAGGGAAACUUCAGCUAAUACCGUAUACGCCCUAAGGGGGAAAGAUUUAUCGGUGCCAGAUGAGCCCGCGUAAGAUUAGCUAGUUGGUGGGGUAAUGGCCUACCAAGGCGACGAUCUUUAGCUGGUCUGAGAGGAUGAUCAGCCACACUGGGACUGAGACACGGCCCAGACUCCUACGGGAGGCAGCAGUGGGGAAUAUUGGACAAUGGGCGAAAGCCUGAUCCAGCCAUGCCGCGUGAGUGAUGAAGGCCUUAGGGUUGUAAAGCUCUUUCAGUGGGAAGAUAAUGACGGUACCCACAGAAGAAGCCCGGCUAACUCGUGCCAGCAGCCGC